This 243-nucleotide long non-coding RNA is filed under the name Nicotiana benthamiana. Its description in RNAcentral is "long non-coding RNA (NBEN_LNC018838)". Lineage: Eukaryota; Viridiplantae; Streptophyta; Magnoliopsida; Solanales; Solanaceae. The record is from RNAcentral.
UGAUAUCAAAAACCAUGAGAGAUGAAGCAAAACCGGUCAGCCUUUGCAUCACGACGUCGAAUCAUCUUUCGAUGAAACGACGGUAUGAUGCGAGGAAGCCCCGUCCGCGUCAAUGAUACAGCGGGUGAUAACUCUUUGACUCCAGGGAUGGCCCCAUCUCGGCUGUGGAUCUAAUCAGCUCCAUCUGACCGCCAGCCUCCACAGUGAAGCUUCCGGCUACAGCUUCCACUGCAGGACAGGAGU